GGCGGCAGGCCUAACACAUGCAAGUCGAGCGGUAGCACAGAGAGCUUGCUCUCGGGUGACGAGCGGCGGACGGGUGAGUAAUGUCUGGGAAACUGCCUGAUGGAGGGGGAUAACUACUGGAAACGGUAGCUAAUACCGCAUAACGUCGCAAGACCAAAGUGGGGGACCUUCGGGCCUCAUGCCAUCAGAUGUGCCCAGAUGGGAUUAGCUAGUAGGUGGGGUAACGGCUCACCUAGGCGACGAUCCCUAGCUGGUCUGAGAGGAUGACCAGCCACACUGGAACUGAGACACGGUCCAGACUCCUACGGGAGGCAGCAGUGGGGAAUAUUGCACAAUGGGCGCAAGCCUGAUGCAGCCAUGCCGCGUGUGUGAAGAAGGCCUUCGGGUUGUAAAGCACUUUCAGCGGGGAGGAAGGCGUUAAGGUUAAUAACCUUGUCGAUUGACGUUACCCGCAGAAGAAGCACCGGCUAACUCCGUGCCAGCAGCCGCGGUAAUACGGAGGGUGCAAGCGUUAAUCGGAAUUACUGGGCGUAAAGCGCACGCAGGCGGUCUGUCAAGUCGGAUGUGAAAUCCCCGGGCUCAACCUGGGAACUGCAUUCGAAACUGGCAGGCUAGAGUCUUGUAGAGGGGGGUAGAAUUCCAGGUGUAGCGGUGAAAUGCGUAGAGAUCUGGAGGAAUACCGGUGGCGAAGGCGGCCCCCUGGACAAAGACUGACGCUCAGGUGCGAAAGCGUGGGGAGCAAACAGGAUUAGAUACCCUGGUAGUCCACGCCGUAAACGAUGUCGAUUUGGAGGUUGUGCCCUUGAGGCGUGGCUUCCGGAGCUAACGCGUUAAAUCGACCGCCUGGGGAGUACGGCCGCAAGGUUAAAACUCAAAUGAAUUGACGGGGGCCCGCACAAGCGGUGGAGCAUGUGGUUUAAUUCGAUGCAACGCGAAGAACCUUACCUGGUCUUGACAUCCACAGAACUUUCCAGAGAUGGAUUGGUGCCUUCGGGAACUGUGAGACAGGUGCUGCAUGGCUGUCGUCAGCUCGUGUUGUGAAAUGUUGGGUUAAGUCCCGCAACGAGCGCAACCCUUAUCCUUUGUUGCCAGCGGUUCGGCCGGGAACUCAAAGGAGACUGCCAGUGAUAAACUGGAGGAAGGUGGGGAUGACGUCAAGUCAUCAUGGCCCUUACGACCAGGGCUACACACGUGCUACAAUGGCAUAUACAAAGAGAAGCGACCUCGCGAGAGCAAGCGGACCUCAUAAAGUAUGUCGUAGUCCGGAUUGGAGUCUGCAACUCGACUCCAUGAAGUCGGAAUCGCUAGUAAUCGUAGAUCAGAAUGCUACGGUGAAUACGUUCCCGGGCCUUGUACACACCGCCCUCACACCAUGGGAGUGGGUUGCAAAAGAAGUAGGUA
RNAcentral lists this ribosomal RNA (1401 nucleotides) under Klebsiella sp. UIWRF0787. Its description in RNAcentral is "bacterial SSU rRNA". It matches the Rfam family "Bacterial small subunit ribosomal RNA". Lineage: Bacteria; Pseudomonadati; Pseudomonadota; Gammaproteobacteria; Enterobacterales; Enterobacteriaceae. The record is from RNAcentral.